UGUCUCCUUUUUCAAUCAGUGAAAUUAAUCUCCCCGUGAAGAAGCGGGGAUACUCAUAUAAGACGAGAAGACCCCAUGGAGCUUCAAACCCAACUACACCCCUAGCUCUUAUAGCCCCACAACCCCCCUAGGCACCGUGUGCUUGGUUUUAGGUUGGGGCGACCGCGGAGUACAAUAAAACCUCCACAAUGAAUGGGAACACCCCCUUAUCUGAGGGCCACACCCCCUAAGAAUUAGAACACUAACAUAAAAUGAUCCAUUACUUGAUCAAUGAACCAAGUUACCCUGGGGAUAACAGCGCAAUCCAUUUCAAGAGCCCCUAUCGACAAAUGGG
RNAcentral lists this ribosomal RNA (334 nucleotides) under Mantidactylus melanopleura. RNAcentral describes it as "partial 16S ribosomal RNA". It matches the Rfam family "Bacterial large subunit ribosomal RNA", at positions 2017 to 2516 of the family's 2925-position model. The record is from RNAcentral. Lineage: Eukaryota; Metazoa; Chordata; Amphibia; Anura; Mantellidae.